CCUACGGGAGGCAGCAGUGGGGAAUAUUGGGCAAUGGGCGCAAGCCUGACCCAGCAACGCCGCGUGAAGGAUGGAGGUUUUCGGAUUGUAAACUUCUGUCGUGAGGGACGAAGAAUGACGGUACCUCGUAAGAAAGCCCCGGCUAACUACGGGCCAGCAGCCGCGGCAAUACGGAGGGGGAAAGCGUUGUCCGGAAUGACUGGGCGUAAAGGGAGUGUAGGCGGGUUAUCAAGUUAGAUGUGAAAUCCCGCGGCUUAGCCGGGGAAGUGCAAUUAAAACUGGUGAGCGGGAGUGCGGGAGAGGUGGGUGGAAUUUCUGGUGUAGCGGUGGAAUGCGUAGAUAUUAGGAGGAACACCAGAGGCGAAGGCGACUCACUAGACUGUAACUGACGCUGAGGCUCGAAAGCGUGGGGAGCAAACAGGAUUAGAUACCCGAGUAGUC
RNAcentral lists this ribosomal RNA (441 nucleotides) under uncultured bacterium. RNAcentral describes it as "partial 16S ribosomal RNA". It matches the Rfam family "Bacterial small subunit ribosomal RNA", at positions 338 to 795 of the family's 1533-position model. The record is from RNAcentral.